GGGGCCUUAGCUCAGCUGGGAGAGCGCCUGCCUUGCACGCAGGAGGUCAGCAGUUCGAUCCCGCUAGGCUCCA
RNAcentral lists this transfer RNA (73 nucleotides) under Carnobacterium mobile. Its description in RNAcentral is "tRNA-Ala". It matches the Rfam family "tRNA". Rfam says of the family: Transfer RNA (tRNA) molecules are approximately 80 nucleotides in length. Their secondary structure includes four short double-helical elements and three loops (D, anti-codon, and T loops). Lineage: Bacteria; Bacillati; Bacillota; Bacilli; Lactobacillales; Carnobacteriaceae. The record is from RNAcentral.